RNAcentral lists this ribosomal RNA (440 nucleotides) under uncultured bacterium. Its description in RNAcentral is "partial 16S ribosomal RNA". It matches the Rfam family "Bacterial small subunit ribosomal RNA", at positions 338 to 795 of the family's 1533-position model. The record is from RNAcentral.
CCUACGGGUGGCAGCAGUGGGGAAUAUUGCACAAUGGGGGAAACCCUGAUGCAGCGACGCCGCGUGAGUGAAGAAGUAUUUCGGUACGUAAAGCUCUAUCAGCAGGGAAGAAAAUGACGGUACCUGACUAAGAAGCCCCGGCUAACUACGUGCCAGCAGCCGCGGUAAUACGUAGGGGGCAAGCGUUAUCCGGAUAUACUGGGUGUAAAGGGAGCGUAGACGGCAGCGCAAGUCUGGAGUGAAAUCCCAUGGCUUAACCAUGGAACUGCUUUGGAAACUGUGCAGCUAGAGUGCAGGAGAGGUAAGCGGAAUUCCUAGGGUAGCGGUGAAAUGCGUAGAUAUUAGGAGGAACACCAGUGGCGAAGGCGGCUUACUGGACUGUAACUGACGUUGAGGCUCGAAAGCGUGGGGAGCAAACAGGAGUAGAUACCCGAGUAGUC